GAUGAACGCUGGCGGCGUGCCUAAUACAUGCAAGUCGAGCGAACAGACGAGGAGCUUGCUCCUCUGACGUUAGCGGCGGACGGGUGAGUAACACGUGGAUAACCUACCUAUAAGACUGGGAUAACUUCGGGAAACCGGAGCUAAUACCGGAUAAUAUAUUGAACCGCAUGGUUCAAUAGUGAAAGACGGUUUUGCGGUCACUUAUAGAUGGAUCCGCGCCGCAUUAGCUAGUUGGUAAGGUAACGGCUUACCAAGGCGACGAUGCGUAGCCGACCUGAGAGGGUGAUCGGCCACACUGGAACUGAGACACGGUCCAGACUCCUACGGGAGGCAGCAGUAGGGAAUCUGCCGCAAUGGGCGAAAGCCUGACGGAGCAACGCCGCGUGAGUUAUGAAGGUCUUCGGAUCGUAAAACUCUGUUAUUAGGGAAGAACAAAUGUGUAAGUAACUAUACACGUCUUGACGGUACCUAAUCAGAAAGCCACGGCUAACUACGUG
RNAcentral lists this ribosomal RNA (497 nucleotides) under uncultured bacterium. Its description in RNAcentral is "partial 16S ribosomal RNA". It matches the Rfam family "Bacterial small subunit ribosomal RNA", at positions 28 to 507 of the family's 1533-position model. The record is from RNAcentral.